UGAGGAAUAUUGGUCAAUGGGCGGAAGCCUGAACCAGCCAAGUAGCGUGAGGGAAGACUACCCUAUGGGUUGUAAACCUCUUUUAUAAGGGAAUAAAAUACGGGACGUGUCCUGUUUUGCAUGUACCUUAUGAAUAAGGACCGGCUAAUUCCGUGCCAGCAGCCGCGGUAAUACGGAAGGUCCGGGCGUUAUCCGGAUUUAUUGGGUUUAAAGGGAGCGCAGGCGGUCUUAUAAGCGUGACGUGAAAUGCAGCGGCUCAACCGUAUGAUGUGCGUCGCGAACUGGCAGACUUGAGUGCGCAGGAAGUAGGCGGAAUUCGUCGUGUAGCGGUGAAAUGCUUAGAUAUGACGAAGAACUCCGAUUGCGAAGGCAGCCUGCUGUAGCGUAACUGACGCUGAAGCUCGAAAGCGUGGGUAUCGAACAGGAUUAGAUACCCUGGUAGU
RNAcentral lists this ribosomal RNA (443 nucleotides) under uncultured Prevotella sp. Its description in RNAcentral is "bacterial SSU rRNA". It matches the Rfam family "Bacterial small subunit ribosomal RNA", at positions 355 to 794 of the family's 1533-position model. Lineage: Bacteria; Pseudomonadati; Bacteroidota; Bacteroidia; Bacteroidales; Prevotellaceae. The record is from RNAcentral.